Long non-coding RNA from Hippoglossus stenolepis (Pacific halibut), 379 nucleotides. RefSeq lists it as uncharacterized. Lineage: Eukaryota; Metazoa; Chordata; Actinopteri; Pleuronectiformes; Pleuronectidae. The record is from RefSeq and is a predicted model, not a curated record. The transcript has 3 exons.
GAAGAUUCCUGCAGCACAGGAAAGACACUAAAUGACUCACUGACAUUACAAGUUGAGCUAAGUUACAUCCACAGAGAAGGUUACGUCAGCAGGAUUCUGCAAAAACUACAGAACGGAUUUCCAGAAAGAGGCAGAUCGCAGAUUUUGAAUUGUGGCUUUUCAGAACCAAGGAACAGGAAACUCAAGCUUAUCAAUCUCCAUCUCUGAGGCAUUCAGUCGUGUUUGCAGUUUGUCCAUGUCGGCCUUCUGUCCCGUCAGCUCGUCCACAGUCGCGUUGAGCCGGGCCUCCAGGGCUUCAAGAUCCUUCUGUUGGGUUUCUACAUGUCUCUGAUUCUCCUGUAAAUCCUUCGUCAGCUUCUCUUGAGCUCUCAUCCACUCA